This 1513-nucleotide ribosomal RNA is filed under the name Clostridiaceae bacterium rennanqilyf1. RNAcentral describes it as "16S ribosomal RNA". It matches the Rfam family "Bacterial small subunit ribosomal RNA". The record is from RNAcentral. Lineage: Bacteria; Bacillati; Bacillota; Clostridia; Eubacteriales; Clostridiaceae.
UUAGAGUUUGAUCCUGGCUCAGGACGAACGCUGGCGGCGCGCCUAACACAUGCAAGUCGAGCGGAGUCCUUCGGGACUUAGCGGCGGACGGGUGAGUAACGCGUGAGCAACCUGGCCUUCAGAGGGGGAUAACGUCUGGAAACGGACGCUAAUACCGCAUGACAUGGCGGAGUCGCAUGGCUCUGCCAUCAAAGGAGUAAUCCGCUGAGGGAUGGGCUCGCGUCCGAUUAGGUAGUUGGUGAGGUAACGGCUCACCAAGCCCGCGAUCGGUAGCCGGGCUGAGAGGUUGGCCGGCCACAUUGGGACUGAGACACGGCCCAGACUCCUACGGGAGGCAGCAGUGGGGGAUAUUGCACAAUGGAGGAAACUCUGAUGCAGCGACGCCGCGUGAGGGAAGAAGGUCUUCGGAUUGUAAACCUCUGUCUUUGGGGACGAAUCAAUGACGGUACCCAAGGAGGAAGCCACGGCUAACUACGUGCCAGCAGCCGCGGUAAUACGUAGGUGGCAAGCGUUGUCCGGAAUUACUGGGUGUAAAGGGUGCGCAGGCGGGGCGGCAAGUUGGAUGUGAAAACUCCGGGCUCAACCCCGGAGCCUGCAUUCAAAACUUGUCGCUCUUUGAAGUGAAAUAAAAGCAGGCGGAAUUCCCGGUGUAGCGGUGAAAAUGCGUAAAAUAUCGGGAGGAACACCAAUGGCGAAAGCGGCCUGCUGGGCUUUUACUGACGCUGAGGCACGAAAGCAUGGGUAGCAAACAGGAUUAGAUACCCUGGUAGUCCAUGCCGUAACCGAUUAUUUGUUAGGUUGUGGGGGGUUUUGACCCCCUUCCCGUGCCGGAAGUUAACCACAAUUAAGCAAUCCACCUUGGGAAGUACGGCCCGCAAGGUUGAAACUCAAAGGAAUUGACGGGGGCCCGCACAAGCAGUGAAGUAUGUGGUUUAAUUCGAAGCAACGCGAAGACCCUUACCAGGUCUUGACAUCCACCGAAUCCCCCAGAGAUGGGGGAGUGCCCUUCGGGGAGCGGUGAGACGGGUGGUGCAUGGUUGUCGUCAGCUCGUGUCGUGAGAUGUUGGGUUAAGUCCCGCAACGAGCGCAACCCUUGUGAAUAGUUGCUACGAAAGAGCACUCUAUUCAGACCGCCGUUGACAAAACGGAGGAAGGUGGGGAUGACGUCAAAUCAUCAUGCCCCUUAUGACCUGGGCUACACACGUACUACAAUGGCCAUCAACAGAGGGAAGCAAGGCCGCGAGGUGGAGCGAACCCCUAAAAAUGGUCUCAGUUCAGAUUGCAGGCUGAAACCCGCCUGCAUGAAGAUGGAAUUGCUAGUAAUCGCGGAUCAGCAUGCCGCGGUGAAUACGUUCCCGGGCCUUGUACACACCGCCCGUCACACCAUGAGAGCCGGGGACACCCGAAGUCGGUUGGGUAACCGUAAGGAGCCCGCCGCCGAAGGUGGAAUCGGUAAUUGGGGUGAAGUCGUAACAAGGUAGCCGUAUCGGAAGGUGCGGCUGGAUCACCUCCU